CAGCCGCCGCGGUAACACCGGCGGCUCGAGUGGUAACCGUUAUUAUUGGGUCUAAAGGGUCUGUAGCCGGCCGGAUAAGUCUCUUGGGAAAUCUGGCAGCUUAACUGUCAGGCUUUCAGGGGAUACUGUCUGGCUCGAGGCCGGGAGAGGUGAGAGGUACUUCAGGGGUAGGGGUGAAAUCUUGUAAUCCUUGAAGGACCACCAGUGGCGAAGGCGUCUCACCAGAACGGACCUGACGGCAAGGGACGAAAGCUAGGGGCACGAACCGGAUUAGAUACCCGGGUAGUCCUAGCCGUAAACGAUACUCGCUAGGUGUCGGCCACGGUGCGACCGUUGUCGGUGCCGUAGGGAAGCCGUGAAGCGAGCCACCUGGGAAGUACGGCCGCAAGGCUGAAACUUAAAGGAAUUGGCGGGGGAGCACAACAACGGGUGGAGCUUGCGGUUUAAUUGGAUUCAACGCCGGAAAUCUUACCGGGACCGACAGCAACAUGAAGGCCAAGCUGAAGACUUUGCCGGAUUAGCUGAGAGGUGGUGCAUGGCC
This 541-nucleotide ribosomal RNA is filed under the name uncultured archaeon. Its description in RNAcentral is "bacterial SSU rRNA". It matches the Rfam family "Archaeal small subunit ribosomal RNA", at positions 459 to 999 of the family's 1478-position model. The record is from RNAcentral.